GCCUUGACCAUGCAAAACCAGUGGCGGGUGCCUGUGAUCCCAGCGCCCGGGAAGGCUGAGGCCGACAGAUCGCUUGAGCUCAGGAGUUCUCGGCUGCAGGGGGCUAUGCCGAGUGGUGUCUGCACUGAAGGUGGCAUUGACAUGGGGGUCCUUGGGGAGCUGGGGGUCCUCGAAUUGCCUGAGGAGGAGCAAACCAGCCCAGGUCAGGAAUGGAACAGGUCAAAGGCCCUAUGCCGCUCAGUAGUGGGAUGGCACCUGUGAACAGCCCCAGGGUAAGACAGGGAGACUUGGACUCUCUUUAUGCUGCUC
Molecule: signal recognition particle RNA, 309 nt
Filed under: Pelodiscus sinensis (Chinese soft-shelled turtle)
Lineage: Eukaryota; Metazoa; Chordata; Testudines; Trionychidae
Description: Metazoan signal recognition particle RNA (ENSPSIG00000019746.1)
Rfam family: Metazoan signal recognition particle RNA
About the family: The signal recognition particle (SRP) is a universally conserved ribonucleoprotein.
Source: RNAcentral